Molecule: ribosomal RNA, 627 nt
Filed under: uncultured archaeon
Lineage: Archaea
Description: bacterial SSU rRNA
Rfam family: Archaeal small subunit ribosomal RNA
Source: RNAcentral
CGGUUGAUCCUGCCGGAGGCCACUGCUUUUGGGGUUCGAUUAAGCCAUGCGAGUCGAGAGGGUUCGGCCCUCGGCAUACGGCUCAGUAACACGCGGAUAACCUACCCUUAGGAGGGGGAUAACCUCGGGAAACUGAGGAUAAUACCCCAUAGGUCUGGUAUGCUGGAACGCUUCCAGGUCGAAAGCCCCGGCGCCUAAGGAUGGGUCUGCGGCCUAUCAGGUUGUAGUGGGUGUAAGGGACCCACUAGCCGUCGACGGGUACGGGCUGUGAGAGCAGUAGCCCGGAGAUGGACUCUGAGACACGAGUCCAGGCCCUACGGGGCGCAGCAGGCGCGAAACCUUCGCAAUGCGCGAAAGCGCGACGAGGGAACCCCAAGUGCCUAUGCAUUGCAUAGGCUUUUCAUAUGCCUAAAAAGCAUGUGGAAUAAGGGCUGGGUAAGACGGGUGCCAGCCGCCGCGGUAAUACCCGCAGCUCGAGUGGUGACCGCUAUUAUUGAGCCUAAAGCGUCCGUAGCCGGUUUCAUAAAUCCUUGGGUAAAUCGGGCAGCUUAACUGUCCGAAGUCCGGGGACACUGCGAAACUUGGGACCGGGAGAGGUCGGAGGUACUCUAGGGGUAGGGGUAAAAU